RNAcentral lists this ribosomal RNA (253 nucleotides) under uncultured bacterium. RNAcentral's name for it is "partial 16S ribosomal RNA". It matches the Rfam family "Bacterial small subunit ribosomal RNA", at positions 524 to 776 of the family's 1533-position model. The record is from RNAcentral.
UACAGAGGGUGCGAGCGUUAAUCGGAAUUACUGGGCGUAAAGCGCACGUAGGCGGCUUGGUAUGUCGGGUGUGAAAUCCCCGGGCUCAACCUGGGAACUGCAUCCGAAACUGCGUUGCUGGAGUACGGAAGAGGAAGGCGGAAUUCCCGGUGUAGCGGUGAAAUGCGUAGAUAUCGGGAGGAACAUCAGUGGCGAAGGCGGCCUUCUGGUCCAGUACUGACACUCAAGUGCGAAAGCGUGGGGAGCAAACAGG